GUUAUGUCAAAAACAAUAUUUACUCAUAAAAAUGCACAUAUGAUGGUAUAUGGAAAGAGGGGCGGAGCAAAACAUUGGAAUAUAAAUUGACCACUGCGUUACCGAUUGACAGGCACACGAGAGAGACCACACUAAAAAGCCUGUUACAACUUUGGCUUUGCUUAAUAGAUAUCUGUUUGUUUCAAACAGAAGAAACACUGCAGCCUAUCAUCUAUUCCCUCAAAUUUACCGAGAUGACAGUGUUAAAGUUAGUGGUUUUGAUAAUUGUAGUGUUUGCGCAGGUUUACUGUGCCCUGGGAACCCCAACCAGCGACGAUUGAGAUAUUUGGUCGAUUGAAAACUGGCAGAGGGAUCCGUUGGAGAGUGGCUUGGCCUUCCGCGUGGUUGACCUCACCAAGAGGUCCAAAUCGCAGCAGGUUCAACAACUCGUGGAGAAAAGCUCAGAUUUAGGAGUCCCUCAACAGAUUCGAAGAAAUAAAGAAAUGUUUUUUGGACUCAUGGGUCGAAGGUCCCCAAGUGGAGGUAGAGUCAAGCACCUUACCAGAUGAUAAAUAUGUUAGCUAUCAUUCUUCAGAGCAAUUUCAAUCUAAUGUAUUUAUUCCAUAUUUGUUUUUUCAGUCACAAGAGGAAUGGAACAAGCCCUAGUAUUACUAGAGAUGAGAUAUAACUUGAUUGUUCAAAGUUACUGGAAUAAUCAAUCUUGCUCAAAUUAUUCAUCUGGGUCAAAGCAAUCCAAUACAUGCAACAAAGUUUAAUUGAUGUAGCAUAAGUAAGGAAUGUGUAAUAAGGGUAAAUAAUUAUUUGACCCAUGUGUUUAAAAACUGGGGCAGGGAUUUGCUGCUACUAAUUGACAUUUUAUGUCUUCCUUAACUGUAUCUUUCUGUAUUCUCCUUUGCAAUACAAGCUGCUUGUCAUGUUCAAUCAAGUAUUUUUUUGUUGUUGCAUAAUAUUAGAUGGCUUGUUAUGCAUACAAACAGGUAUAUUUGUCUAACUUAAGAUAAUUCACACGAGAGCAUUACUGAACUUCAAGAUUCAUUAAUAUUUUCUGUGCUUCAUAUCAAAUACUGAUAAUUUGUCAGUGAACCCCUACACAUCUGUGGCAAUGGCUCAAUGCUGUUCAAAUUUCCUUAAUAAAAACAAUUUGUUCAAUCAAGUGCA
Molecule: long non-coding RNA, 1158 nt
Filed under: Salmo salar (Atlantic salmon)
Lineage: Eukaryota; Metazoa; Chordata; Actinopteri; Salmoniformes; Salmonidae
Description: lncRNA (ENSSSAG00000110625.1, ENSSSAG00000117125.1)
Source: RNAcentral